AAUUGGGUUGUAUUAUAAACCUCUAAGACGGAUAUUAGAGGUAGACUCAAUGUAAUAUACCGGAUUUUAAUAUAAAAGUAAAUAUAAAUAAAAAUAGUGUGAGAUACUAUUUUUAUUCGAUUUAAAAAAGUAAAACAUAAGUUGAAAAUGACUUGUGCUGAAGUCGGAAUGAAAAUAGAAGAUUUAGAAUUUUCUGUGAGAAACGGAGCUGAUAUUUUAGUAGAAAAUGCAGUGUCAGAAAAUUAUAAAAACUGGAGAGUAUGUCAAAAUUAUUUUUAUGAGACUAGAAUUAAAGUUUCAUGUCAUUCUGACACCAGGAAUGUGGAAAAUAAAAUCUGACUACUAUCUGUUAGAGAUUUCAGUUCGGUAGAACUUUCGGUGACAAAAAAUGGUCGAAACUGAAAAGUUAAGAUAUAUUACGUUUAUUUAGCAAAAACCGAGGCUGACUAUCAAAUUUGAGCGAAAACAGACAUUCCGAAGGCCCGGCGAAAAGUAUCUGAUCCUGAGCUGCUAAACUGAAAGUAAAUUGUAUUUAGU
RNAcentral lists this long non-coding RNA (537 nucleotides) under Ananas comosus (pineapple). Its description in RNAcentral is "long non-coding RNA (ACOM_LNC005346)". Lineage: Eukaryota; Viridiplantae; Streptophyta; Magnoliopsida; Poales; Bromeliaceae. The record is from RNAcentral.